Molecule: ribosomal RNA, 279 nt
Filed under: uncultured bacterium
Lineage: Bacteria
Description: partial 16S ribosomal RNA
Rfam family: Bacterial small subunit ribosomal RNA
Source: RNAcentral
UGCCAGCCGCCGCGGUAAUACGGAGGGUGCGAGCGUUAAUCGGAAUCACUGGGCGUAAAGCGUACGUAGGCGGCCUAGCAGGUGGGGUGUGAAAUCCCUCAGCUCAACUGAGGAGCUGCGCUCCAAACCGCUAGGCUUGAGGGAGACAGAGGUGAGCGGAACUGAUGGUGGAGCGGUGAAAUGCGUUGAUAUCAUCAGGAACACCGGUGGCGAAGGCGGCUCACUGGGUCUCUUCUGACGCUGAGGCACGAAAGCUAGGGGAGCGAACGGGAUUAGAUA